Long non-coding RNA from Suricata suricatta (meerkat), 614 nucleotides. RefSeq lists it as uncharacterized. The record is from RefSeq and is a predicted model, not a curated record. NCBI's taxonomy places the organism in Eukaryota, Metazoa, Chordata, Mammalia, Carnivora, Herpestidae. The transcript is spliced from 3 exons.
CCACCAGACUCGCCACCCCUGGGGUCCUCCAACGUCCCUGUCGCGCGGCCCUUAGUGACCAACCUGAGCGCUACGAAGGGUCAACAGCCCGCUGCGCUCCCUCUGAAGAGAGGCCUCCGCCUGGCCCCUCUAGAUGAGGAAACAGAGGCUCCGAGGGAGUGGAGGACGCAGCCCGUACCCCACAGAUGGGUGAGCGCAGGAAGCAGGAGGAGGAACCCACACCAUCGUGUGCCAGCGCCCCAACUCAACCAGCAGGCUAGAAACUUCUGUGGAAGGGCUGCAAGCUGCUUUUCUUUCAGGCUGAGGGCUGCCUUUGGCCCAGCUUCCCUCCCCGAAGCUGAGUAAUCUAGAAAAAUUGCAGCCAGGCAUAGAGGAACGCGCGCAGGGGCCAGCCUGGAUCACGUCCUCAAGCUCGGUUCUUGGCAAGCUCACUCCUGUAAGUGUGGAGCUGUUUAGACCGGAGGACGACAAGCAACAGACGCCUCUAGAGGAUCAGGCCCGCCAAUGGGUAGAGCCACACUGGGAGUCCGGGCCCAGUCCGGGCCCAGACCCGGCCCAGACCCAGCCUGGGCCGUCAGUCUCUAAUUUCAGAUAAAAGGAAAAAGACCUCUUCA